RNAcentral lists this unclassified non-coding RNA (427 nucleotides) under Hevea brasiliensis (rubber tree). Lineage: Eukaryota; Viridiplantae; Streptophyta; Magnoliopsida; Malpighiales; Euphorbiaceae. The record is from RNAcentral.
CAUCUAUCAAGUACUUCAAAGUAAUUGAUGGGAAUAUUGUAGGUAGAACAUAGAGCUAAUAUAUAGCAAAAUUCAAAAUCCAUAAGUGAAUCGAAACCCAAUUUAAUUGAAAAACAUAACAAAACCAGACAUGGUAAACUAAAAAUCCUUUGUUCUUUAAAAGAUCAAAAAAGGAAAAGCCAGGAUACACCAAAACUGACUUUGUUACCCAUAUAAACUUUUUUAACUUCCCACUCUAAAAGCAAAUAAUUGCCUGUUACUUCUCUAAUCUCCCUUUCUCCUGAAAGAACAACCCUCGGUGAGUCUAGCACGCCCACCAGUUGGCUGGCACAAGACCGUCUGACAGUUCCCGCACACCACCACAGUUUGCGAGUGGCUGAACACCGUUGUUAUGUUAAAGCAACCCUGGCACUUCACAUCCAUGAAG